This 305-nucleotide ribosomal RNA is filed under the name uncultured bacterium. Its description in RNAcentral is "bacterial SSU rRNA". It matches the Rfam family "Bacterial small subunit ribosomal RNA", at positions 334 to 653 of the family's 1533-position model. The record is from RNAcentral.
UCCGCCUACGGGGGGCAGCAGUGGGGAAUAUUGCACAAUGGGGGGAACCCUGAUGCAGCGACGCCGCGUGAGUGAAGAAGUAUUUCGGUAUGUAAAGCUCUGUCAGCAGGGAAGAAGAAAAUGACGGUACCUGACUAAGAAGCCCCGGCUAACUACGUGCCAGCAGCCGCGGUAAUACGUAGGGGGCAAGCGUUAUCCGGAUUUACUGGGUGUAAAGGGAGCGUAGACGGUGCAGCAAGUCUGAUGUGAAAGGUCGGGGCCCAUCCCCGGGACUGCAUUGGAAACUGUUGAACUGGAGUACGGGG